UUUGUAUACAUUAAUGGAUGCUUGAAACAGCCAUACUGAAAUGUAACUUGAACGAGUACUACAUUUUCACAAAAGUAAGCCUAUAUACAUGAAUGAAUAAAUGCACAUGUUAUGAAAAUAAUGUGAUAUAUUUCUUUGUUUAAGAAGGCGACCAACUUUCAAAGGUCCUGCUACUUUUACAAAGGAGGUAGUAUUGCUGGGCGGACCUCACAACAAUGUAGUUGUAAAACACGGAACCAAGCAAUUACUCUAUGAAAGUGGGCAUGUGAUGAAUGCCUUUGAAUUCCACAAGGAGUGGUCGGCUGAAGAACUUCUAGAGAAUAUUAGAUCAGCUUUCAGCAGUCAUCUUCCUCCAGGAGCUAAUUUGGAAAUACUCAUGGCUUGCCACAAUAAACUGAUAGCUCCUUCUCUAAUGAGGAACCAAACACUCAAUGGUUGGAUGAUGAACAAAAUAUUUAAGCAACGCUCUGUCUAUAUUCGCCCCUCGGUUGAAAUCUUGGAUCUGCAAAGGCUGGACCAACAACCUGAAGACUGGGAUAAAACUAAUGUGCCAGAUAAUUCUCAGGAUCCUAACUGUAUUCGUGAAGAGACACUAGUUGCAGAUGAAAUACUUG
This is a long non-coding RNA of Acipenser ruthenus (sterlet), 614 nucleotides long. RefSeq lists it as uncharacterized. NCBI's taxonomy places the organism in Eukaryota, Metazoa, Chordata, Actinopteri, Acipenseriformes, Acipenseridae. The record is from RefSeq and is a predicted model, not a curated record. The transcript has 3 exons.